GACGAACGCUGGCGGCGUGCUUAACACAUGCAAGUCGAACGAAGAGCGAUGGAAGCUUUCUUCUAUCAAUCUUAGUGGCGAACGGGUGAGUCACGCGUAAUCAACCUUCCCUUCAGAGGGGGACAACAGUUGGAAACGACUGCUAAUACCGCAUACGAUCUAACCUCGGCAUCGAGUAAAGAUGAAAGGUGGCCUCUAUGUAUAAGCUAUCACUUAAGGAGGUGAUUGCGUCUGAUUAGCUAGUUGGCGUGGUAACGUCCCACCAAGGCGAUGAUCAGUAGCCGGUCUGCGAUGAUGGAUGGCCACAUUGGGACGGAGACACGGCCCAGACGCCUACGGGAGGCAGCAGUGGGGAAUCGUCCGCAAUGGACGAAAGUCUGACGGAGCAACGCCGCGUGAGUGAUGACGGCCGUCGGGUUGUAAAGCUCUGUUAAUCGGGACGAAAGGCCUUCUUGCGAAUAGUGAGAAGGAUUGACGGUACCGGAAUAGAAAGCCACGGCUAACUACGUG
RNAcentral lists this ribosomal RNA (510 nucleotides) under uncultured bacterium. RNAcentral's name for it is "partial 16S ribosomal RNA". It matches the Rfam family "Bacterial small subunit ribosomal RNA", at positions 28 to 507 of the family's 1533-position model. The record is from RNAcentral.